This 508-nucleotide ribosomal RNA is filed under the name uncultured bacterium. RNAcentral's name for it is "partial 16S ribosomal RNA". It matches the Rfam family "Bacterial small subunit ribosomal RNA", at positions 28 to 523 of the family's 1533-position model. The record is from RNAcentral.
GACGAACGCUGGCGGCGUGCCUAAUACAUGCAAGUCGAGCGGGUUUGUUCCUUCGGGGACAAGCUAGCGGCGGACGGGUGAGUAACACGUAGGUAACCUGCCUUCAAGAUCGGGAUAACUUUCGGAAACGAACGCUAAGACCGGAUAGCUGGUCUUCUCGCAUGAGAGAAUCAUGAAACACGGAGCAAUCCGUGGCUCGAAGAUGGGCCUGCGGCGCAUUAGCUAGUUGGUAGGGUAACGGCCUACCAAGGCGACGAUGCGUAGCCGACCUGAGAGGGUGAACGGCCACACUGGGACUGAGACACGGCCCAGACUCCUACGGGAGGCAGCAGUAGGGAAUCUUCCGCAAUGGACGCAAGUCUGACGGGGCAACGCCGCGUGAGUGAUGAAGGUUUUCGGAUCGUAAAGCUCUGUUGCCCUAGACGAACAGCAGGGAGAGUAACUGCUCUCUGUGUGACGGUAUAGGAGAGGAAAGCCCCGGCUAACUACGUGCCAGCCGCCGCAGUAA